RNAcentral lists this non-coding RNA (1483 nucleotides) under Betula luminifera. The record is from RNAcentral. Lineage: Eukaryota; Viridiplantae; Streptophyta; Magnoliopsida; Fagales; Betulaceae.
UGAAACAAAUUAUUUUUGAAGGAAGAGACAAGGGGAGAGAGAGCUGGACUUCACGUGAAAGCUGGCAGCCAUUAUGACUCAACUAGGGAUUUCAUUCCACAAGCUAGUGCUUUACCUUAUGUAAAUGGGCAGAUCAAGGUUAGUUCGGAACCAGUGGCAGCUUGCUGGUUUUGAUUUAUCUGCACUUGGCAUGAGGAACAUGGAGGGCGAUGUUUAACCCUCAUUAUAAUCUAGAUUAUUCAAAUCUGGCUUGUGGUGGCAAUGGUUAUACAGUUUUUCGACCUUUAAAUGGGCACUGAAAGGGAAGUAUGACGGAGUCUGCUCGCAAAUUAGUGGGUUCUUGACCGUUGUAAUAAUGUAUUUGAGAAAAUUGUUGGCUCUUAGAUUUGCAGUGAGGUUAUAAUUAUAAUCAUCUAACCAUAAUUUAUAGGAAAAGCAAUACUCUUCUUUUCUAUAUAUAAUAUAUAGACUAGAUAAUUCGGGUCAUCCGAAUUGACCCGAACUCAAUUAUACAAAAUUAUAGUCUGCUAAUUUUGUAUUGGGUUUAUGAUAAAUUUAUAGGGUGAAUAGCAAAUGUAGAAUGUUGGUUUGAUUUAUUUUUUUGUUGGGUUUAUGAUAAAUUGAUGGGGUGAAAACUAUCCUCAAACCCUUUGGGGGUAGCUCAACCAUCCCAUUUGGCCUUUUGAGGUGGCUCGGCCACUCUAUUUGUCCAAAAUAGGGGUGGUUCGGCCACCCCCAAAGAUCCAAAUGAGGGUGGCCGAAACCACCCCAAUUCUUUUGGGGGUGGCCAGCCACCCCCAUGGCUAAAUCGGGGUGGUUCGGCCACCCCCAUAAUUGUCCAUGGGGGUGGCUACAACCACCAUUUUUUUUUCUUCAGAUUAUUAUUAUUUUUUUUAAAAAAAAUAAAGAAUAUUUUAAAAAUAAAAAGUUUAGUCAAAGGUAAUUUGAGAAAGUAAAUAAUGAAAAUUUCAAUUUCCGUCAGAUGAAACGGCAUAUGUUAACGGAUUGUUUGAAUUGAAAAUAUUUACAACAUUGGAGGGUAUAAUUGGAGGCGAAAUUGAAAAACUCUUCAAACAUUAGGAAUAAAAUGCAUUUUCUCCUUUUUUUUAAUGAUCUAUAUUUAAUUUUAAAAUUUUUAUGAAAAAAAUAAAUUAAACCUAAACGUAAUUUUUUUUUUUUGACCGCACCAAAAUCCAUAUUUCGUAGCAACUGACGCGAACCACGUAGGGCUUCCUGUCUAUAAAAGCACAAACAUAGGCAACCCAAAGAUGCAAAGAUCCACGGCCGCCUCUUUGUUUCGUACGGCCGUGUUUAUCCUCUGUUGGUAUAUGCAUAUGAGCUGAACGCACGUCUAAAGCCAAUGGGAUAUGGCUCCAUCACAUUCGUUUAUUCAGAGAAAUCACGGUUGCGAAGGGAAUGCUAUUCUUUCCCCAUGUUAAGUCUCAACCGUGUUUCUCUGUAUAAGGAGAUGUGCUGGAACUCU